This 1431-nucleotide ribosomal RNA is filed under the name metagenome. RNAcentral describes it as "SSU rRNA". It matches the Rfam family "Eukaryotic small subunit ribosomal RNA", at positions 1 to 1443 of the family's 1831-position model. The record is from RNAcentral.
UCUGGUUGAUCCUGCCAGUAGUCAUAUGCUUGUCUCAAAGAUUAAGCCAUGCAGGUCUAAGUCCAUGCCGCAAUAAGGUGAGACCGCGAAUGGCUCAUUAAAUCAGUUAUGGUUCCCUAGAUCUUCGGUUACACUUGGAUAACCCUGGUAAUUCUAGAGCUAAUACAUGCAAGACAACGCCGACCCGCGAGGGAAGGUGUGUUCUUAUUAGACCAAAACCAAUCGUCGCUUUCGGGCGACGUCUGUUUGGUGAUUCUGAAUAACUUUGUGCGGAUCGUACGGUCUCGUACCGACGACGCAUCUUUCAAAUGUCUGCCUUAUCAACUUGUUGGUUGUUUACUGGACAACCAAGGUGGUAACGGGUGACGGAGAAUCAGGGUUCGAUACCGGAGAGGGAGCACGAGAAACGGCUACCACAUCCAAGGAAGGCAGCAGGCACGCAAAUUACCCAAUCUCGGCUCGAGGAGGUAGUGACGAAAAAUAACAAUACGAGACUCAUCCGAGGCUUCGUAAUUGGAAUGAGCGUGAAUUAAAUCCUUGUUGCGAGGAUCUAUUGGAGGGCAAGUCUGGUGCCAGCAGCCGCGGUAAUUCCAGCUCCAAUAGCGUAUAUUAAAGUUGCUGCGUUUAAAAAGCUCGUAGUUGGAUCUCAGUCUCGAUCAAUCGGUUCACUUCCGGGUGCUACUGGUUGAAUCGGACGAUGUUGGCCACAUUUCCGGGCAUGCUCUUCACUGAGUGUGUCUUGGAGAGUGGAGCGUUUACUUUGAAAAAAUUAGAGUGCUCAAAGCAGGCGUUUCGCCUGGAUAGUCGUGCAUGGAAUGAUGGAAUAGGGCCUCGGUUCUAUUUUGUUGGUUUCCGGAACUUGAGGUAAUGAUUAAGAGGGACGGACGGGGGCAUUUGUAUUGCGACGUUAGAGGUGAAAUUCUUAGAUCGUCGCAAGACAAACUACUGCGAAAGCAUUUGCCAAGAAUGUUUUCAUUAAUCAAGAACGAAAGUCAGAGGUUCGAAGGCGAUCAGAUACCGCCCUAGUUCUGACCAUAAACGAUGCCAACUGGCGAUCCGCCGCUGUUAAUCAAAAUGACUCGGCGGGCAGCUUCCGGGAAACCAAAGUUUUUGAGUUCCGGGGGAAGUAUGGUUGCAAAGCUGGAACUUAAAGGAAUUGACGGAAGAGCACCACCAGGAGUGGAGCCUGUGGCUUAAUUUGACCCAACACGGGGAACCUCACCAGGCCCGGACACCAGAAGGAUUGACAGAUUGAUAGCUCUUUCUUGAUUUGGUGGGUGGUGGUGCAUGGCCGUUCUUAGUUGGUGGAGUGAUUUGUCUGGUUAAUUCCGAUAACGAACGAGACCCCGGCCUACUUACUAGACUACGGAUCCUCUCGUCCGUGCCGUCUUCUUAGAGGGACAACUGGCUACAUGAAAUAGCUACAUGAAA